Cavia porcellus (domestic guinea pig) is the source of this 751-nucleotide non-coding RNA. The record is from the annotation of a RefSeq genome assembly. Lineage: Eukaryota; Metazoa; Chordata; Mammalia; Rodentia; Caviidae.
GAGCCUCUUCUGUAACUGAGGAAGCUAAUUCAUUUCUUUUUAGGUUUCUAGAGAAACUAGAAGUGUCUGAAAAUGCCAUGUUUUUAAAUCAAAUCUCAAUGAACCAGGGAGACAGAAUGACUGAAUAUUUUGGUAUUUUACUAGUGAUCUUGUGGCUUCAAUUCAUCUGGAUGAGCGGCCAGCAGAAGGAGGUGCAGCAGAGUCCCGAGUCCCACAGUGUUCCAGCUGGAGCCACUGCUUUUCUCAACUGCACUUUCAGGGACAGUGACUCUCGGAACUUCGCGUGGUACCGACAGUACCCUGGGAAAGGCCCUGAGCUGCUGAUAUCCAUAUACUCCAGUGGGGACAAGAAAGAAGGAAGAUUCACAGCGCAGCUCAGCACAGCCAGCAGGCAUUUCUCCCUGCACAUCCAAAGCUCCCAGCACCGUGACUCAGCCACCUACUUCUGUGCAGUGAGCACACAGUGCUCCCCAGGCACCUGCAGCCUGCACCCAAACCACAGGGGAACAGGCAUGGCCUCAGAGAUCAGAGGUGCAGAGCGAGUCCAAAUUUCUCAAGAAGGUAUCUAGAAGACUUCCUGAAAUAAAGGACUUUGUUGUUGUUGUUGUUUUUUUGUUUGUUUGUUUGUUUGACUAAAGACCUGCAUAGAUCAGCUUUCACAGACCACAUGGUAUUGUGGGGUGGUUUGGCAAUAAUUAGUGAGGAGACAUGGAGACACUGAAGAUCAUAGCAGUGUCUCCUUCCCUUGAUU